This 228-nucleotide ribosomal RNA is filed under the name uncultured bacterium. Its description in RNAcentral is "partial 16S ribosomal RNA". It matches the Rfam family "Bacterial small subunit ribosomal RNA", at positions 568 to 795 of the family's 1533-position model. The record is from RNAcentral.
UACGUAGGCGGAUAUUUAAGUCAGAUGUGAAAGCCCCGGGCUCAACCUGGGAACUGCAUCUGAUACUGGGUGUCUAGAGUAUGGCAGAGGAUAGUGGAAUUUCAGGUGUAGCGGUGAAGUGCGUAGAUAUCUGAAGGAACACCAGUGGCGAAGGCGACUGUCUGGGCCAAUACUGACGCUGAGGUACGAAAGCAUGGGUAGCGAACAGGAUUAGAUACCCUGGUAGUC